AGUGAACGCUGGCGGUAGGCCUAACACAUGCAAGUCGAACGGCAGCACAGUAAGAGCUUGCUCUUACGGGUGGCGAGUGGCGGACGGGUGAGGAAUACAUCGGAAUCUACUUUUUCGUGGGGGAUAACGUAGGGAAACUUACGCUAAUACCGCAUACGACCUACGGGUGAAAGCAGGGGAUCUUCGGACCUUGCGCGAUUGAAUGAGCCGAUGUCGGAUUAGCUAGUUGGCGGGGUAAAGGCCCACCAAGGCGACGAUCCGUAGCCGGUCUGAGAGGAUGAUCGGCCACACUGGAACUGAGACACGGUCCAGGGUCCUACGGGAGGCAGCAGUGGGGAAUAUUGGACAAUGGGCGCAAGCCUGAUCCAGCCAUACCGCGUGGGUGAAGAAGGCCUUCGGGUUGUAAAGCCCUUUUGUUGGGAGAGAAAAGCAGCAGGUUAAUACCCCGCUGUUCUGACGGUACCCAAAGAAUAAGCACCGGCUAACUUCGUG
This 492-nucleotide ribosomal RNA is filed under the name uncultured bacterium. RNAcentral describes it as "partial 16S ribosomal RNA". It matches the Rfam family "Bacterial small subunit ribosomal RNA", at positions 29 to 507 of the family's 1533-position model. The record is from RNAcentral.